CCCUUAGAUGUCCGGGGCCGCACGCGCGCUACACUGAAGGAAUCAGCGUGGCUUUCUCCCUGACCCGAAAGGGUUGGGAAACCCGUUGAAUCUCCUUCGUGAUAGGGAUUGGGGCUUGAAAUUGUUCCCCAUGAACGAGGAAUUCCCAGUAAGCGCGAGUCAUAAGCUCGCGUUGAUCACGUCCCUGCCCUUUGUACACACCGCCCGUCGCUACUACCGAUUGAACGGUUUAGUGAGGGCCUCGGAUUGGUCUCGGCCCGCUCUUUACCGGGCGGCGCCGUUGGUCGAGAAGACGCUCGAACUUGAUCGUUUAGAGGAAGUAAAAGUCGUAACA
Molecule: ribosomal RNA, 334 nt
Filed under: uncultured eukaryote
Lineage: Eukaryota
Description: partial 18S ribosomal RNA
Rfam family: Eukaryotic small subunit ribosomal RNA
Source: RNAcentral